GGCCUGCUAAAAAUUUGAAGAAAUGAGCCAAGGCGAGGGAUGUCAUGCGAUUAAUUAUGUCAACAAGGAAAAACCAUUGAAGAGCUCGCAGAAUAAUGGGUACUCCGUUUGCCAAAACAGAGACCAACUGAAGAUAUCAAUAGUUUUAUAGACUUCUUGAGAACUUGGCCUCGUUUAGGAAUCCAGCGAGGAGCUAUCCCUGGCUGAGGAGGUGGGUUUCCAUGUUGGAAAGG
Molecule: unclassified non-coding RNA, 233 nt
Filed under: Hevea brasiliensis (rubber tree)
Lineage: Eukaryota; Viridiplantae; Streptophyta; Magnoliopsida; Malpighiales; Euphorbiaceae
Source: RNAcentral